This 340-nucleotide ribosomal RNA is filed under the name uncultured bacterium. RNAcentral's name for it is "bacterial SSU rRNA". It matches the Rfam family "Bacterial small subunit ribosomal RNA", at positions 8 to 334 of the family's 1533-position model. The record is from RNAcentral.
AGGGUUUGAUUCUGGCUCAGGACGAACGCUGGCGGCGUGCCUAAUACAUGCAAGUCGAGCGAAGUUUUUCUGGUGCUUGCACUAGAAAAACUUAGCGGCGAACGGGUGAGUAACACGUAAAGAACCUGCCUCAUAGACGGGGACAACUAUUGGAAACGAUAGCUAAUACCGGAUAACAGCAUAAAUCGCAUGAUAUAUGUUUAAAAGUUGGUUUCGGCUAACACUAUGAGAUGGCUUUGCGGUGCAUUAGCUAGUUGGUGGGGUAAAGGCCUACCAAGGCGACGAUGCAUAGCCGACCUGAGAGGGUGAUCGGCCACACUGGGACUGAGACACGGCCCAG